Molecule: ribosomal RNA, 496 nt
Filed under: uncultured bacterium
Lineage: Bacteria
Description: bacterial SSU rRNA
Rfam family: Bacterial small subunit ribosomal RNA
Source: RNAcentral
AGUAGUUUGAUCCGUGGCUCAGGACGAACGCUGGCGGCGUGCUUAACACAUGCAAGUCGAGCGGAAAGGCUCCUUCGGGGGUACUCGAGCGGCGAACGGGUGAGUAACACGUGAGUAAUCUGCCCUUGGCUUCGGGAUAACUACCGGAAACGGUGGCUAAUACCGGAUAUGACCACUCCUUGCAUGAGGUGGUGGUGGAAAGUUUUUUCGGCCAGGGAUGUGCUCGCGGCCUAUCAGCUUGUUGGUGGGGUAAUGGCCUACCAAGGCUUCGACGGGUAGCCGGCCUGAGAGGGUGACCGGCCACACUGGGACUGAGACACGGCCCAGACUCCUACGGGAGGCAGCAGUGGGGAAUAUUGGACAAUGGGCGGAAGCCUGAUCCAGCAACGCCGCGUGAGGGAUGACGGCCUUCGGGUUGUAAACCUCUUUCAGUACCGACGAAGCGCCGAUGAUGGUGGUGACGGUAGGUACAGAAGAAGCACCGGCCAACUACGUG